CUGGAGGGCAAGUCUGGUGCCAGCAGCCGCGGUAAUUCCAGCUCCAGUAGCAUGUCGUAAAGUUGUUGCGUUUAAAACGCUCGUAGUUGGAUCAUACAGUGGCGAACAGCUGAUGUGCGUUUACGGGCGUUGUAUUCAGCAGUGUGGUUUGAUCAGUUAAUUCUGGUCAGACUGUGCUGCUGUUGACCGAGACGUACGUUGUUUGCUGGUCGUUACUACUUGCACGCGGGAAUGGUGAUUGGCCUUUAGUGCGCUGGUCACUGUGUCUCGCGGAGUGUGCCUUGAAUAAAUCAGAGUGCUCAAAGCAGGCUGUUGCCUGAAUGAUACAGCAUGGAACGAACAAACGUGUAAAGUGCAUUGACGGGCCCGCUUGGGACUGUUAAUGCAUAUCACCAACCACCAUGACGGAUGUUGGUUUCCGUAAUGGGGUGAUGAUUAAAACGAGCGGUUGGGGACAUUGGUAUUUGGCCGCGAGAGGUGAAAUUCUUAGACCGGCCAAGGACUAACAAAAGCGAAGGCAUUUGUCAAGACCGUCUCGAUUGAUCAAGAACGAUAGUGGGAGGUUCGAAGACGAUCAGAUACCGUCCUAGUUCCCACUUUAAACUAUGCCGACCCGGGAUCAGUUUUGAGCUAAAAACAACGCUCGAGGUUGGUCCCCCUGGGAAACCUUAAGUUUUUGGGUUACGGGGGGAGUAUGGUCGCAAGGCUGAAACUUAAAGGAAUUGACGGAAGGGCACCACCAGGGGUGGAGCCUGCGGCUUAAUUUGACUCAACACGGGAAAACUCACCGGUUCCGGACGUUAAAAGGAUAGACAGACUGAUAGAUCUUUCUUGAUAUGAUGUGUGGUGGUGCAUGGCCGUUCUUAGUUCGUGGAGUGAUCUGUCUGAUCAAUUUCGAUAACGAGCGAGACUCGAAUCUCUAUUUACGAUGCAGAAUGUCUGGUUUAUGACCAGACCUAACUGCAUGUCUCGCCAGAAGGUUCGCUGGAUGACGAGAUGUGUGGUCAAAACUUCUGCAUUGUCUCGUGCAGCAAUGUACGGGACUGCAUAGAGAGACAACUGACUAUAAUUAUAAAAUCAGAGGAAGUCGAGCAAUAACAGGUCUGUGAUGCCCUUAGACGUACCGGGCUGCACGCGCGCUACAAUGAUAACGGCAACGAGUUAUCUGGGCCGAAAGGCUUGGGAAAUCUUGAAUCGUUAUCGUGAUGGGGAUUGUCCAUUGUAAGUUGGACAUGAAAUAGGAAUCCCUUGUACGUGCGCUUCAUCUAGAGCGCGCGGAAUGAGUCCCUGCCCUUUGUACACACCGC
RNAcentral lists this ribosomal RNA (1307 nucleotides) under Myxobolus umidus. RNAcentral describes it as "SSU rRNA". It matches the Rfam family "Eukaryotic small subunit ribosomal RNA", at positions 548 to 1672 of the family's 1831-position model. The record is from RNAcentral. Lineage: Eukaryota; Metazoa; Cnidaria; Myxozoa; Bivalvulida; Myxobolidae.